Molecule: ribosomal RNA, 416 nt
Filed under: uncultured Thermomicrobia bacterium
Lineage: Bacteria; Pseudomonadati; Thermomicrobiota; Thermomicrobia
Description: bacterial SSU rRNA
Rfam family: Bacterial small subunit ribosomal RNA
Source: RNAcentral
AGCAAGGAAUCUUCCGCAAUGGGCGAAAGCCUGACGGAGCAACGCCGCGUGCGGGAUGACGCCCUUCGGGGUGUAAACCGCUUUUCUUCCGGAAGAACGUGGCGCGAGCCACCUGACGGUACGGGAGGAAGAAGGACCGGCUAACUACGUGCCAGCAGCCGCGGUAAUACGUAGGGUCCGAGCGUUGUCCGGAGUUACUGGGCGUAAAGCGCGCGCAGGCGGCGGUGUAAGCAUGGCGUGAAAGCCCCAGGCUCAACCUGGGAGGGUCGUCGUGGACUGCACCGCUUGAGGGCGGUAGGGGCUGGUGGAAUGCCUGGUGUAGUGGUGAAAUGCGUAGAGAUCAGGCGGAACACCCGUGGCGAAGGCGGCCAGCUGGGCCGUCCCUGACGCUGAGGCGCGAAGGCGUGGGGAGCGAA